Prunus avium (sweet cherry) is the source of this 1237-nucleotide non-coding RNA. NCBI's taxonomy places the organism in Eukaryota, Viridiplantae, Streptophyta, Magnoliopsida, Rosales, Rosaceae. The record is from RefSeq and is a predicted model, not a curated record.
AGCCAGUGGGCACGGCACGAUAAAUGUGAAAGAAAGAUGCCCUUUCGUUGGCCUCCAAAGAAACUCACCCACUCUUCUAUUAAAAUAAAACCCCAUCUCUUUGCAUAGCCCCUAAACCCUCUCACAAGAUCUGAAGAUCGUACUUUGGGAACUUGAAGGAAGAAACCUCUCUUUCUCUCAAGUUAUGCGUGUGUUCGUGCUUGUUUGAAAGGCAUCUGUGGUGGAUGAGAUGGUAGAUCCUUGGUCAGAAUCUUCCUCCUCAGGUGACGAAGCAUUGAAAAUCACUAGUUUAGAGGAGGAAACAGAAGUUAUCGAUUCAUGGAAAAUUUCCGAGGACAAGGCAUGUGAUAUUGGAGUUUCAAUCUUUGGAAUGGGUGGCAUCGGUAAAGUUACUCUUCAUUGUCUAGAAUGUAGAAGAGAGCUGGGAGUUGUUCUGCAACGAGUAACUCUAACGGUUUUCUCUGAACAUUCGUAGAAAAAUCGGAAAUUCUCUGAUUACUCAAGUUUUUAGGACAACUCAUGUUCAAUUGAAGGAUGUUGUUUCGAAUUUGUCUCAAAUUUGUCUCACCACUUAGCUCAGGUUAGAAGAAAAUAACAAGUGCUUAACUCAGUUUCUAAUAUAAAGUGUUACGGCAUAAAUUCUUUGAUCAUGCUUACAGCUGGUAAAGUGGGACACAAACAAAGCAUGAUGAAGACAUAACAUUUAACAUCUGCAUUUUAAUGGUGUACCAGUUAAUUUUCAAUGGUGUAUAGCCUGUAUUUCUCAUAUGUGUUUUAAUGAUUUGUGGAGAUACUUGUUGAUUACUUUUUCCAAUUUAGAUCUUCAAUUGUUUUGUAUCACCAUUUCUUCAUUUUAAAGACCUUUAAGAAUCUUGUACACUGGGGACGAUAGCACAAAGAGUGAGUAACUCAGCAUGACACGAUUCAAGGCAUCUUCUUGCAGAUUUGGGGCUUGCAAGUGAUCAUCUUCUAAGGGACUGAACCAACAAUUCUUGAUGCAAAAACACUUGCACAGGCUUUAACACCGGAGAUCCAAGAACCUUGAAGCAUUUUGGCUUAAUUCCAUAAUAUGAGCAUGUUAUAUGCAUCUGGUAACAUUUUUAUUAUCUUCCUUUUUGUUUCUCUGUAAAGCCUAGAAACCAAAUGAAUUGGUUCAGUGCGAUUAGGUCUAGCUCUUGUGAUGCAUUUCUAUACCUGUAAUCUAGGACCACCAAGAUUUAUGUCAUGUUUUGGCUCA